GGCCUGGUGGUGUAGUGGGAACAUAUCCCCUUACAAUGUCCAUGGAUGAUUUUAAUUAUUAAAGGGAAGCACCCCGUUCGAUUCGGGGGCUGACUG
Mycena galericulata is the source of this 96-nucleotide non-coding RNA. The record is from the annotation of a GenBank genome assembly. Lineage: Eukaryota; Fungi; Basidiomycota; Agaricomycetes; Agaricales; Mycenaceae.